AUUUUAUUUAUUUAUUU
RNAcentral lists this small RNA (17 nucleotides) under Arabidopsis thaliana (thale cress). RNAcentral's name for it is "ATSL128760". Lineage: Eukaryota; Viridiplantae; Streptophyta; Magnoliopsida; Brassicales; Brassicaceae. The record is from RNAcentral.